AUUGAACGCUGGCGGCAGGCCUAACACAUGCAAGUCGAGCGGUAACACAGGGAGCUUGCUCCCGGGUGACGAGCGGCGGACGGGUGAGUAAUGGCUGGGAAACUGCCUGAUGGAGGGGGAUAACUACUGGAAACGGUAGCUAAUACCGCAUAACGUCGCAAGACCAAAGAGGGGGACCUUCGGGCCUCUUGCCAUCAGAUGUGCCCAGAUGGGAUUAGCUAGUAGGUGGGGUAACGGCUCACCUAGGCGACGAUCCCUAGCUGGUCUGAGAGGAUGACCAGCCACACUGGAACUGAGACACGGUCCAGACUCCUACGGGAGGCAGCAGUGGGGAAUAUUGCACAAUGGGCGCAAGCCUGAUGCAGCCAUGCCGCGUGUAUGAAGAAGGCCUUCGGGUUGUAAAGUACUUUCAGCGGGGAGGAAGGCGAUAAGGUUAAUAACCUUGUCGAUUGACGUUACCCGCAGAAGAAGCACCGGCUAACUCCGUGCCAGCCGCCGCCGUAA
RNAcentral lists this ribosomal RNA (504 nucleotides) under uncultured bacterium. RNAcentral describes it as "partial 16S ribosomal RNA". It matches the Rfam family "Bacterial small subunit ribosomal RNA", at positions 30 to 523 of the family's 1533-position model. The record is from RNAcentral.